Molecule: small RNA, 672 nt
Filed under: Pongo abelii (Sumatran orangutan)
Lineage: Eukaryota; Metazoa; Chordata; Mammalia; Primates; Hominidae
Description: processed transcript
Source: RNAcentral
CGCCAAGCCCCGCCCCAGAUGAGUGCGCAGUAUGCGGACCGCUGGCCGGGACCCAGUGAGCGCGGGACUACAAUUCCCAAAGGACCGUAGCACCCAGCGCCCCGCCAACAGGUACCCGGCGGCUCGCUUCGCACACACGCGGCGGGCGGUGGCGGGAUUCUGCCGCGUGCGCUUUCCCGCGCCGCCUCGACUAGUCUUGUCCUGCGCUCGCCACGCCUCGGGCUGUCCGUUGGGCCACGCAGACCGCGCUGCGCUCGCUCCGUCGUGGCUCCGCGUGCCCCACCUUCUCGCUAGUUUUUUCUAGAGCCUAGGCUCCGCCCGUUUCCCGCUUUCAGGGCCCGGUUCGUUCCCGCCCCCACCCGUCCCUCUCCUCUGCACCCCUACUGCUUCUGCUUUGAAGGCGGAGGCUCCAUGUUGUCCCCUCAGCGAGUGGCAGCAGCUGCCUCAAGAGGAGCAGGUGAUGCCAUGGAGAGCAGCAAGCCUGGUCCAGUGCAGGUUGUUUUGGUUCAGAAAGAUCAGCAUUCCUUUGAGCUAGAUGAGAGAGCCUUGGCCAGCAUCCUCUUGCAGGACCACAUCCGAGAUCUUGAUGUGGUGGUGGUUUCAGUGGCUGGUGCCUUCCGAAAGGGCAAGUCCUUCAUUCUGGAUUUUAUGCUACGAUACUUAUAUUCUCAG